GCCCCACCGUAAAAUAUAUAUUUACACUAUCAACGCCAGGGUAUUACGAGCCUUAGCUUAAAACCCAAAGGACUUGACGGUGUCCCAUCCAACUAGAGGAGCCUGUUCUAUAAUCGAUAACCCCCGAUAUACCCAACCCCCCCUUGCCAACCAGCCUGUAUACCUCCGUCGUAAACUUACCAUAUGAAUGCCAACAGUAAGUUCAAUGAUUUAACACCAAUACGUCAGGUCAAGGUGCAGCUCAUGAUGGGGAAAGCAAUGGGCUACAAUUUCUAAAAUAGAACACACGGAAUGCUGCAUGAAACACAGCCACGAAGGUGGAUUUAGUAGUAAAAAGUAAAUAAAGUGCCCUUUUUAAUAAGGCCCUGGGACGUGUACACACCGCCCGUCACCCUCUUCAACAGCACACAUAUGUUCUUAACAAGUUUUGCACGGGGAAAACGNUGGCAAGUCGUAACAUGGUAAGUGUACCGGAAGGUGUACUUGGAUUACAAAGUGUAGUUUAACAAAACUCCUCGCUUACAUCGAGAAAUUAUCUGUGCAAAUCAGAUUACUUUGAGCCAAAAAUCAAGCCUAACUACUUUUUAUAAAAACUACACUCAACUAAGCCACAAUAAAACAUUUUAUUAGUUUAGUAAAGGAGAUUAAAAAACUCUUUAGCGCUUUACUGUUAGUACCGCAAGGGAAAGGUGAAAUAGUUUUGAAAUAGCCUUAAGCAAAAAAAAGCAGAGAUUAUUACUCGUAUUCCAAAAUACACCUUUAACCCUUUAUUCCUACUGAAUGAUUCUAUAUUUAUAUAGAAAUCCCCCUGCUAAAACUAGUAACAAGAAAUUGAUUAUUCUCCAAAAUAUUAGUAUAGGCCAAAAUGGACAAACCAUUGGUUAUUAACGUCAAUAAAAUAAUAUAGUAACUUUACUAGAAAAGCCUAUUAAUUCUCACGUUAACCUUACACAAGUAUAUUCUGGAAGAUAAAAGAAAGAGAAGAAUUCGGCAAUCAUAGC
RNAcentral lists this unclassified non-coding RNA (1001 nucleotides) under Limnonectes megastomias. RNAcentral describes it as "partial contains 12S ribosomal RNA, tRNA-Val, and 16S ribosomal RNA; may contain tRNA-Phe". The stretch from base 1 to 499 matches the Rfam family "Bacterial small subunit ribosomal RNA", at positions 794 to 1533 of the family's 1533-position model. The record is from RNAcentral. Lineage: Eukaryota; Metazoa; Chordata; Amphibia; Anura; Dicroglossidae.